UGUGCGCGUGAGCAAUCAUCGAUCGUUCAGCCCGCCCCGCCUGCGUCUGAGUGAGCGGCACACGUGCGUGUAGAACGCGUCAUUCCUCUGUGUGUGGGUGUGUUAACACAGCCUGUUUCAUCAUCAUCACGGUUUUAACAAAUGUUUGUUUAUGUCCCAAGCUAUUCCAGCUGAAAAUAUUUCAUCUUUUGGUCCUACUCCUUAAGCAGUUUGGAUUCUUUGACGGGAAAACAGCCUUCCCUUCAGAGACCUUGAACUUUGACCAUCGUGGAUCUGUUCCCGAACUUUGACCUGUGUACCAUGAUGCUAUCAGUGAAGAGUGACUACGUUCUGUGGAGCAUGUCUGAUAUCCUUCGUCUGUCUCUGGCCGCACCGUUAUCUCUCUACGGUUUGUGAACACUCACAGAUCUCUGGGACAUCAAAGAAUUACAACAUCAUCGACGUCUCUCAAUCCAUUGUUGACUAUUUUCUGACUGAUGUUGUAUUUGUUGAGAGUGGAAGUGUCACCGUAACCAUACCAAAGAUUCGUUGAUACAACCAAAGAUCAACCUGUUAUUGACUAUUAUCUAAUGAUUGUUGCCUUUGUUGAGAGUGGAAGUGCCACCGUAAACUACCAAAGAUUCGUUUAUAUCACCAAAGUUCUAACAGGAAACUGAAAAACCCCCAACUGAUUACCUUUGAGAACACGUCUUGAGUGUAAAAUUGUGCAAAUUGCUUAACUCGCUCUGUGGAAAUCAUUAUCAGGUGGACGAAGUGAUCAAACGAUCAAACAUUUCAGCUUUUUUGUGGUUAAAAUAUAUCGUUUAUCCGAACAAACAUAGUAUCUGUGUUAACUACUUGUGGCGAACGCAUCAUUUCAUUUAUAAGAACAUUUGUGGUCAGCUGUAUGACCGGUUGUAGCUGGAGUGUUUGAAUAAGUCGACAGGGAUUUUGUUGUUACAUGUUUGAGCACAUAGUCAUUUUGUUUUCAAAUCAAAAUCAACGCCUGUGAUUGAACAAAGCCAAAGAAAGACCUGUAUUUAUAUAACCUGUUUCAAGACGCUGAACAUAUCAGUAUUUUUCUUUUACUUAUCCGCGGACUGUUACAGCUUUGCAUUUUUAUACUUACCAAUUUACGCCGACAA
Long non-coding RNA from Aplysia californica (California sea hare), 1124 nucleotides. RefSeq lists it as uncharacterized. The transcript is spliced from 2 exons. The record is from RefSeq and is a predicted model, not a curated record. NCBI's taxonomy places the organism in Eukaryota, Metazoa, Mollusca, Gastropoda, Aplysiida, Aplysiidae.